GGCUGGGGCUCAACGGUAGAGCACUCGCCUAGCAUGUGAGAGGCCCUGGGUUUGAUCCUCAACACCA
RNAcentral lists this transfer RNA (67 nucleotides) under Marmota monax (woodchuck). RNAcentral's name for it is "tRNA.Ala". Lineage: Eukaryota; Metazoa; Chordata; Mammalia; Rodentia; Sciuridae. The record is from RNAcentral.